Molecule: ribosomal RNA, 119 nt
Filed under: Petromyzon marinus (sea lamprey)
Lineage: Eukaryota; Metazoa; Chordata; Hyperoartia; Petromyzontiformes; Petromyzontidae
Source: RNAcentral
GCUUACGACCAUAUCACCCAGAAUGCGCCCGAUCUCGUCUGAUCUAGGAAGCUAAGCAGGGUCGAGCUUGGAUAGUACUUGGAUGGGAGACUGCCUGGAAAUACCAGGUGUUGUAGGCU